CCUACGAGAGGCAGCAGUAGGGAAUUUUGCGCAAUGGGCGAAAGCCUGACGCAGCAACGCCGCGUGAUCGAGACGCCCUUCGGGGUGUAAAGAUCUGUCAGUGGGGACGAAACUUGACGGUACCCACAGAGGAAGCACCGGCUAACUCCGUGCCAGCAGCCGCGGUAAUACGGGGGGUGCAAGCGUUGUCCGGAAUCAUUGGGCGUAAAGAGUUCGUAGGCGGCACGUAAAGUCUGGUGUUAAAGGCAGAGGCUCAACUUCUGUACGGCACUGGAUACUUGCGAGCUAGAGUGCGGUAGAGGUAGAGGGAAUUCCUGGUGUAGCGGUGAAAUGCUUAGAUAUCAGGAGGAACAUCGGUGGCGUAAGCGCUUUACUGGGCCGUAAUUGACGCUGAGGAACGAAAGCCAGGGUAGCAAAUGGGAUUAGAUACCCUUGUAGUC
RNAcentral lists this ribosomal RNA (440 nucleotides) under uncultured bacterium. RNAcentral describes it as "partial 16S ribosomal RNA". It matches the Rfam family "Bacterial small subunit ribosomal RNA", at positions 338 to 795 of the family's 1533-position model. The record is from RNAcentral.